CAAUGAAUAGAAGAAGGAGAAGGCGAAAAAAGGACGGGCACGACAUGAAAUCGGCGAUUUGGAUCCAAAAAGCUUAGGGCUUCUGCUAUUGCGAUCCACGCAAACUGGUGUUUAUGGUACACCACGAAUAGGAGAAUGAAGAGACAAUGGAUGGAGACAAAAGCAGCGGUAACGGACGGAGGUGAAAACUGCAGAAAAUGGCCUGAGAAAAAUCGCGAAGGAGAGCAGAGAGAGGCAGGGCGUUUUUAUGUCUUUUUG
RNAcentral lists this long non-coding RNA (258 nucleotides) under Olea europaea subsp. europaea. Lineage: Eukaryota; Viridiplantae; Streptophyta; Magnoliopsida; Lamiales; Oleaceae. The record is from RNAcentral.